AGGAAAGAAUCCUGAAAAAUGAUGAUCCUUACAAUACACAUUCUGUUUUUCAAUAAAAGAAAUUAUUUCCAAACAAUCAAAGGUUCCACCUGCACUUAAGGGAGUGGAGGUUCAUACAAGGGUAUACAUCUGAAGUCUCUUUCUGUCCAUUCCCUGCCUCUGCUGAACAAGCUACCUGUACCUGUUGAAGUCCUUGCAUUAAGCAUACGAACAUUCAGGUUUUUCAGUUCAGAGCAGUAUCUACUCACACAUUUUACCUAUAAAAUGAUUACCAACGAACACAUAUU
RNAcentral lists this long non-coding RNA (287 nucleotides) under Vulpes vulpes (red fox). RNAcentral describes it as "lncRNA (ENSVVUG00000024048.1)". Lineage: Eukaryota; Metazoa; Chordata; Mammalia; Carnivora; Canidae. The record is from RNAcentral.